CUGCUGCUCAAUUAAUGAAAUGUUGAAUGUAUUGAGAUCUAGAAGCAUAAGCUGUGGAGAGUCAAGUUGCAGUGAACAUGGCUGUGUGUGUGUGUGUGCGUGUGUCUGUAUGCGGUUGGUCUCCGUGGCGAUAGUGCUGCAGGUGAAACUUCCUUCCUGCAAACAGCGUCAUGGUAACUUCCAUCCCAUGACCCCAGAGAUACAUAACAGACUAACAACACUGCAGGUUCUCUCUCUCUUUCUCUCUCUCUUGCUGAUUGUUAAUAAUUUCCCCGUGUUGUCCAAAGAGCUGAUCAUAGAGAAGGUGUUUGAUGUGAUUGGUGUAAUCAGGCCUGUGGGGAUGAGCCGGCAUGUUUAAACUCAGUCCCCUGGGUGGGUUCACAUAUGAUCUUGUUAAGAUUAGAGAGUAUUAAUCCACAACACAGUGUACCUGUUAAGAAGGGUGGGAUUUUUACUUACAAGCAACUACUCGGUAACACAUACAGAUUUGUGUUUGUUAGCACGUGUGUGUGUGUGUGUGUGUGUGUGUUGGGUGAGAGGGGAGGGGUGUGUUGUGUUUUGGAAACGUGAAAUGUUUCUCUCCUGAAUUCCUGAGGGCCAUCUCUGUUCCCAGGCUUUCAGUCUCUGCUCUAAAUCCUCUACUGCACCUCCCACUUAACACACUGGGAAGCUUUGUGGAGCUGAAUGUGUGUGUGUGUGUGGCUAUGUGUGUGUUUUGAGAGACAGACAGGCAGAGAGAGAG
Osmerus eperlanus (European smelt) is the source of this 742-nucleotide long non-coding RNA. RefSeq lists it as uncharacterized. NCBI's taxonomy places the organism in Eukaryota, Metazoa, Chordata, Actinopteri, Osmeriformes, Osmeridae. The transcript has 3 exons. The record is from RefSeq and is a predicted model, not a curated record.